UACGUAGGGGGCGAGCGUUGUCCGGAUUUACUGGGCGUAAAGCGCGCGCAGGCGGCCCUUUAAGUCUACCCGUGAAAUGCCGGAGCUCAACUCCGUGCACGCCGGGGGAUACUGGGGGGCUGGAGACAUGUAGAGGCAAGCGGAAUUCCGGGUGUAGCGGUGGAAUGCGUAGAGAUCCGGAAGAACACCUGAGGCGAAGGCGGCUUGCUGGGCAUGAUCUGACGCUGAGGCGCGAAAGCGUGGGGAGCAAACAGG
Molecule: ribosomal RNA, 255 nt
Filed under: uncultured bacterium
Lineage: Bacteria
Description: partial 16S ribosomal RNA
Rfam family: Bacterial small subunit ribosomal RNA
Source: RNAcentral